GAUGAACGCUGGCGGCAUGCCUAACACAUGCAAGUCGAUCGGUAAGGCUCUUCGGAGUACCCGAGAGGCGGACGGCUGAGUAACGCGUAGGAACACACCCUGCAGUGAGGGAUAAGACACCGAAAGGUGUUCUAAUACCGCAUACGGUCUUCGGAUUAAAGCAUUUAUGCGCUGAAGGAGUGGCCUGCGUCAUAUUAGAUAGUUGGUGAGGUAAUGGCUCACCAAGUCGAUGAUGUGUAGCUGGUCUGAGAGGAUGAUCAGCCAGACUGGAACUGAGACACGGUCCAGACUCCUACGGGAGGCAGCAGUGAGGAAUAUUUCACAAUGAGCGAAAGCGUGAUGGAGCAAUGCCGCGUGCAGGAUGAAGGCCCUCGGGUUGUAAACUGCUUUUAUAAGAGAAGAUUAUGACGGUAACUUAUGAAUAAGGGACGGCUAACUACGUG
RNAcentral lists this ribosomal RNA (443 nucleotides) under uncultured bacterium. RNAcentral's name for it is "partial 16S ribosomal RNA". It matches the Rfam family "Bacterial small subunit ribosomal RNA", at positions 28 to 507 of the family's 1533-position model. The record is from RNAcentral.